GAUUAGUGGCGAACGGGUGAGUAACACGUGGGCAAUCUGCCCUUCACUCUGGGACAAGCCCUGGAAACGGGGUCUAAUACCGGAUAACACUCUGUCCCGCAUGGGACGGGGUUAAAAGCUCCGGCGGUGAAGGAUGAGCCCGCGGCCUAUCAGCUUGUUGGUGGGGUGAUGGCCUACCAAGGCGACGACGGGUAGCCGGCCUGAGAGGGCGACCGGCCACACUGGGACUGAGACACGGCCCAGACUCCUACGGGAGGCAGCAGUGGGGAAUAUUGCACAAUGGGCGAAAGCCUGAUGCAGCGACGCCGCGUGAGGGAUGACGGCCUUCGGGUUGUAAACCUCUUUCAGCAGGGAAGAAGCGAAAGUGACGGUACCUGCAGAAGAAGCGCCGGCUAACUACGUGCCAGCAGCCGCGGUAAUACGUAGGGCGCAAGCGUUGUCCGGAAUUAUUGGGCGUAAAGAGCUCGUAGGCGGCUUGUCACGUCGGAUGUGAAAGCCCGGGGCUUAACCCCGGGUCUGCAUUCGAUACGGGCUAGCUAGAGUGUGGUAGGGGAGAUCGGAAUUCCUGGUGUAGCGGUGAAAUGCGCAGAUAUCAGGAGGAACACCGGUGGCGAAGGCGGAUCUCUGGGCCAUUACUGACGCUGAGGAGCGAAAGCGUGGGGAGCGAACAGGAUUAGAUACCCUGGUAGUCCACGCCGUAAACGUUGGGAACUAGGUGUUGGCGACAUUCCACGUCGUCGGUGCCGCAGCUAACGCAUUAAGUUCCCCGCCUGGGGAGUACGGCCGCAAGGCUAAAACUCAAAGGAAUUGACGG
RNAcentral lists this ribosomal RNA (814 nucleotides) under Streptomyces sp. RNAcentral describes it as "bacterial SSU rRNA". It matches the Rfam family "Bacterial small subunit ribosomal RNA", at positions 90 to 916 of the family's 1533-position model. Lineage: Bacteria; Bacillati; Actinomycetota; Actinomycetes; Kitasatosporales; Streptomycetaceae. The record is from RNAcentral.